This 93-nucleotide unclassified non-coding RNA is filed under the name Omophoita sexnotata. The record is from RNAcentral. Lineage: Eukaryota; Metazoa; Arthropoda; Insecta; Coleoptera; Chrysomelidae.
AGCGGUCACACAUCCAGGUACAGCGUGUUAUGGCCGUUAGCGGUCCCACAUCGAUGUACGAAUCGUACGACCAUCCAGCGUGCUAUGGCCGUU